AUUGAACGCUGGCGGCAGGCCUAACACAUGCAAGUCGGGCGGAGCGGCGGACGGGUGAGUAAUGUAUGGGAAACUGCCUGAUGGAGGGGGAUAACUCCUGGAAACGGUAGCUAAUCCCGCAUACCAUCAGAUGAACCCAUAUGGGAUUAGCUUGUAGGUGUGGUAAUGGCUCACCUAGGAGACGAUCCCUAGCUGGUCUGAGAGGAUGAUCAGCCACACUGGGACUGAGACACGGCCCAGACUCCUACGGGAGGCAGCAGUGGGGAAUAUUGGACAAUGGGCGAAAGCCUGAUCCAGCCAUGCCGCGUGUGUGAAGAAGGUCUUCGGAUUGUAAAGCACUUUAAGUUGGGAGGCGUUACCAACAGAAUAAGCACCGGCUAACUUCGUGCCAGCCGCCGCGGUAAUAC
This 407-nucleotide ribosomal RNA is filed under the name uncultured bacterium. RNAcentral describes it as "partial 16S ribosomal RNA". It matches the Rfam family "Bacterial small subunit ribosomal RNA", at positions 30 to 526 of the family's 1533-position model. The record is from RNAcentral.